UUCAAUUACAUGGCAUAAGGUUGCUCGUUGCGAUUAGUUUACAUGUAUAUGGAAAUUUGUUGCAUCAUUCCCUCACUAAUUCUUCUCAUUUUCUGUGUUACCAUUGCUUUUAUCAUAUUGAACGGCUUUAGUCAUCUCUUUCAGGUCUACUAAUCCAUCCUUUCCCAUUUUCCUCGACAAGCCACCGACAAUUUCAGUAUCAAUUUCUACUUCCGAUUCUGGGGAAGCUGCAACCUCAUCAACUAAGGUAGAAGUUGCCCCAUCCACACUAUCGGAAUCAUCUCCCACAGAGCUUUUAAACUUUUCAACCAGUUUAGCCACCCCCGACUGAAAGUUAGGGUCUGUUAUUAUUUUUUUCAACUGUUCCCCUUGUACUUUGCCAUCUUGCAAUGCAAUAAUAAAGCCGGACAUAACUGAAGGCGAAAAUACCCUCAUGGUUUCUGGGGAUGCUGCAAGCUCAUCAGCUAAGGCAAAAGUUAUCCCAUCCACACUCUCGGAAUCAUCUGCAACAGAGCUUUUAAACUUCUCAACAAGUUUCGACUUAAAGGUAGGGUCUUCUAUUAUUUUGUUGAAAUGCUCCCCAAUGUCGGACAUAACGAGUUUUGGGGAUGCCGCCUCAUCCUCGUUUUGUCCUACCACAAAUUGGAUUGCUUCGAGUUCUGGGGAUGUCGCCUCAUCCUCGUUUUGUCCUACCACAAAUUGGAUUGAGAGCAACAAAGCCAAUGAGAAUACAACGAAAGAAACCUUCACCAUAUUUUUUUACAAAAAAAAAAAAGAAAAGGAUAAGCAAAAAAAGUAAGAUAUAUUUUUAUCAACUCAUAGGGAUGGAAACGAGACCAAUUUUAAAGAGUUUAAAAUGAGAUAGUUUUGCCGAAUUUAGGGGCCAUUGACUGGUUCGGUGCUUAAUAGCCAUACACUACUAAAAUACAUGUAACUUCUCUCCAUAUUUUAAAAGCUAUGUUUGUCACUAUUAUUAUUGGUUUUAAUUUAACCUAUCAGGCGGGUUUAAAUUUUCGUUGUGUCCCAACUCGAACCCAACCCAUGCUCACCUUUAGCCAUGUGAUAACUUUUCUAUAAUCCUUUUACGCUAUUUGGUGAACACUUUAACCUGCAAUGAUUUUCAGAAUUCCAUUUAAAAGGACAAUUUUAAAGAGAUCUUUCAAAAGCUUCAAAAAUUUCUUUCACAUUAAACAUAUUGUAACAGUCGAUUUUCAGUGAUGUCGAAAAUAGUGGUUCGAGGCUACCAAAUCCGGCAAGUAAGUUCGUAAAUAUUAUUUAAUAUUUAUGGGUCAAAUAUGAUUUUAGAAAGAUUUUUUUUAAUUAGUAAUUAGUGUUUUAUGAAGAUUUAUUCGGUUAAGUGGUUUUAGAAAAUGAGGUGUUCUAUAAACUAAGCCAUAAAUAUUUUUAUAAAUAUUUACGGAGUGUCAUUAAGGUAGUAUUAAAGUUUCAUUAAGAAAUUUUAACGUUUUGAUAGUUAAUUAAUUAAAAGGGACUAAAUUGCAUAAAGGGUGAAAGUUAAAUUAUAGAUUAAGUAAAAUUAAAGGGAUCAAAGAAGCAAUUAUGCUAUUGCUUAAAGUUGAGGCUGCAUAAGUAGAUAUUUAUUUAAAAAUCUAAAGUUAAAAUAUAUUAUAAUGUUAUAAUAAUAUUACUUAAAAGUUAAGUAUAUAUUAUAUAUUAUAUUAUAUUAUAUUAUAUUAUAUUAUAUUAUAUUAUAUAAUAAAAGAACAAACAAAUAGAAAAGAAGGAAAGAAACAGAGAAGCAACACGAAAACAGGGAAGAAAGGAAAGAAAAAGAAAAAGGGAAGGAAAGAAAGAAAGAAAAUUUGGGAUUUUAAAGUUCAAAGUUUGAUUGGUAAGUCAAUUUAGUCCAUUUUCUUGUAAUUUUUGAGUUUUUAGAAUCUUAGAACAAAAUAUUACUUGAUUUAAGUUGAAAUUUUGAAAGUUAGUAAAUUUUUAGAAGUUGUUCAUGUUGAAUAAAUUGAAGAAUUAGGGAUUAAAUUGAUAAAAUUUCCAGUUAGGAGUUAGUAAAGGAUUGAUUUGUAAAAUAAAACAUAAGUUUUGAAUUAAUAGGGACUAAAUUGAGAGAAUUUCAAAAUUAAGGAUUUAUGGUGAAAUUAGUGAGUUAAAUUAGUUUAAAGUGGGAAUUGAAUGAAAAUAUGAAAUUAGUUUUGAGAAUAAAAGUUAGUCUCGAUUCAGGGACUAAAUUGGAAUUUAGGAAAAUAUUGAGUAAAAAUUGAAAUAUUUAAUGUGAGAUUGAAUGGUGUUGUAUUGAUGAUUUUUAAUUUUUUAAUUCCGUAGCUAGCGUCGUACCAAAACUCUCGACUAAAAAGGGAAAAAUAUAAUCGACGAGGAAUAGCUCGGAAUUCCUGGUUUGUAUUUCUAUAAUCCGAAUCUAAUUAUUAAUUGUUGUAUUUUAAUUAAAUGUUAUGGUAAGUGAUUGAGGUGAGAAUUAUUGUGUUUUACAAUUGAAAUGGAUUAUUUUGGUAUGUGAUGAAAUUAUAUUGAUUGAAUUGAAUUGGAAUAUAUAUAUUAUAAAUAUAUUUGUGUAAAUGUGAAAUUGUGCAAAUAUGAUAAUUGAAUUAUUUUUUAUAUGUAUAAAAUUCAGUUUUAAUGCCCAAGUAGACAGAAUUUAGAACUACUAGGAUAUUAGUGGCAUGCCAUUAAGGAACUUAGCGCGCUCUCUGAUUACUAGCACGUUAGUGCUCUCCGUUUAGCACAUUUUUGCUCUCUGUAUAGCACUUUAGUGCUCUCUGUUCAUUAGUGCAUAAUAAUGCACCUCUAUAUUUGUUCCAUAUAUCCGGUGUGUUCUAUAAAAUCUACUCUGGGCUGAGAAUAUGAGAUAGUAAACUGAAAAUAGAAUGUGAAAUAUGUUGUAAAUACAUGGAAUACACGAGUUAUAUAUUCAUAAAUUGAAUGUGGAAUGGAUAGUGCCAUUGUUUAAAUGAUACUUGAAUAAAUUAUGGAAAGGUAUUAUAUAUAGCAAGUGAUGAAAAUUGAGUAUUGUGUGAUUUUAAAUGUUCAAUUGUUCUUAACAUUUUAUUAUCCAUAUUUUAUUGUUUUAUUUUUUAAAAAAAAUUCAAAUUAUAGAAAUACCACUGAGUUUUUACUCAGCGUACGGUUUUAUUUUCCGUGCGCAGGUUAAGUACAUAAGUUUGAUCGUUGAUUCAACAUCCAACAAUGAUCCCGAACUCAAAUAUAGUGAUGUUUAUUUCUUUGUGUCGGCAUGUACCUAGAGUGUCUAAAUAAUAGUUAUUUUGUGGUUUGAUUGUAAAUGAAGUUAUAAGAUUAAUUUUGAAGAGUUUAUAAUUUGGAUUAAAAUGAUGCUUUAAUGACUUGUUUCAAUGAUAUAAAAUGUUUGAGAUUUUUGUCUACUUGAUCUAUAAACUCCGUUAAUGCUCCAUAACCCAGUACCGGCGAGGGAUACGGGGUGGGGGUGUUACACAUAUUGCAAAGAACGCAAAAAGACUAUCCGGUACAAAAUGACGGAUUCCAAGAUUGAAGUUAGAGGACUCGCCGCGUGUAACUAUAGGUGUGGUUGUCCUUCGUCGUGCCCCAGCGGCAUGACUUUCAUGUUUUUGCCCUAUUAUUUUCUUUGAUUUAUGUUAGGGUAAACUAUAAAUUAGUCACCCAACUUCGAUUCUUGGUUCAAUUUGGUACUUAAAUUUGACUUUUUGGUCCAAAUUAGUACUUAUAGUAAAUCACCUAUUUGAAUAAAUUUGAACUUGGCUUGGUAUCAAAUGAAAUAUUGAGGUCAAGUUCAUGUACCUAAUUGGACAAAAUGUUUUUUGACUAAAGCAUUUACUUUUUAACGAUUUUAGCGCGAUAUCUUGCAUAGUAAUCUACAUGUACUUAAUAUUGACAUAACGAUAUUUAUCUUAUAUGUUAUGUCAACAAAUAAUUUAUAAUUAUUGUCGAAACUAUUUUUAUUUUGAAAAAUGGGGUCGACUUUUAAAACGAAAAUGGAGUCGCCACCAAUUUUUUUUCGAGGUGUGAUCAGGUCACCUUGAGAUUAAUCAUUUUAAUAAAACAUUUUGAUUUAUUAAAAUAAUGAUUUUGGUCUACAAAAUUCGAGAAAACGGGUUCGGGAGUCGGUUACGCACGCGCCCUCUUAAUGCCCAAAAAUUGGUACCUAAUUGAUUAAUUAACGUCCUAAUGUUGAAAAUUUGAAAAGAUUUUAAAAUACGAUCCUCUUUAAAAACCUGAAUAAAUCGAAUUUGAUGUUAAGACUUCCUUGUCCCGAAGUAAUAAGAUGUCACAUCCAGUGAGUUAGGAUACGACAUUUUAACUCUCGAAACUAAGCAUGUCUCAUGCAUGAAAGUUUAAAAAGGAAAUUCGGUUAUUUGGAUCAAAAAAAUUGAAACCCAGUAAGUUAGUGCACGAUUUUCUCAAAGCUCUAAAGUACUGAAUAUUGCUUUUUUUUUAAAAGUUUUCUUUUUUAAAAUUGGGAAAAUUGACGCAAUAUUAAAACGAUGCGUAAAAAUUUUGAUAAAAAACGGCAAUAUGAAAAUACAAAUAAAUAAUUUAUAAAACACAAAAUGACAAUUAUUUAAAUACUAGCAUCAAUAAUCAAAGGCUAAUGAAUUUAAAACAAAGAGUAUAAAAAAAUAUAAGGCAAAAUAAAAUGUAAAUAAAUUUAAAAAUAAUGAAUAUGAAAAUGAAUAAUAAGAGAAAAAGAAAUUUGAAAUCAACAAUAUACAAAUUAAUAAAUAAAUUAUAUAUAAAAAAAGUAGGUAAUAUAUGUAUAAGUUUGGAAUAAAUAAUAUAUAAAAAAUGAAAAUAGGCAAUAUAUAAAGUAAUAAUAUAUAUAAAUGAGUUUAAACAUAAAUAUUGUGUAAUAAGGAAUUUAGAACAAAUUAUACACAAAAUAUCUUAAAAAUAAAUGGUAUAUAAAAUAGAUAGUAUAAAAAAAAAUUGCAAUUGAUAAUAUAUGGGAAAAAAUUUUAAAGCAAAUAAUCAAAUAAUUUAAAAUGGAUGGUUUAUAACACGAGUUUUUAAAAAAUAAACAACAUGUGUGACAUAAUAUUAAAAAUAAAUAAAGUAUAUAAUUUAACUUAAAUAUUUUUAUUAUAAUAAAAUAGCAAUAAUAGAAUGGUUUAAUAACUUAUUUUUUUCUCUCUUUUUUGAGGUUUCUAAAUUUAACCGUUUCUUAUUUUGGGGAAGCUGCAACCUCAUCAGCUAAGGCAGAAGUUGCCCCAUCCACACUCCCGGAAUCAUCUCCCACAGAGCUUUUAAACCUUUCAGCGAGUUUAGCCACCCCCGACUGAAACUUAGGGUCUGUUACUAUUUUUUUCAAUUGUUCCCCUUCUACUCCGCCUUCAUGCAAUGCAGCAAUAAAGCCGGACAUAACUGAAGCCGUAACUUCCCUCAUCGAUUCUGGGGAUGCUGCAACCUCAUCAGCUAAGGCAGAAGUUGGCCCGUCCACUAUCCCGGAAUCAUCUCCACCAGAGCUUUUAAACAUUUCAUCGAGUUUACCCAUCCUCGACUUAAAGGUAGGGUCUGCUAAUAUUUUGUUGAAUUGCUCGCCAAAGUCGGACAUAACAAGUUCUGGGGAUGCCGCCUCAUCCUCCUUUUUUCCUACUACAAAUUGGAUUGAGAGCAUCAAAGCCAAUGAGAAUACAACGAAAGAAACCUUCGCCUUUUUUGUUUUUUUUUUAAAUGUUAAGAAAAAAAAGUAAGAUAUAUUUUUAUCGAUGGAACUGAGACAAAUUUUAAAGAGUUUAAAAUGAGAUUUUUUUGGCCAAAUAUAGGGGCCGUUGAAUGGUCUGGUGCUUAAUAGCCAUACACCAUUAACAGCCAAAGUAUGUAAUUUUUCUUGAGUUUGACUCUUUUCUCUUUCUUCCCCCUUUUAUUGUUUCCCGAAAUAGGGUUUAUUUUAAUCAAGUUUCAAUGUUCUUCAGAUGGGAAGACAUGGGCCUUCAAGAUUAGGGAUUAAAACUUAAAAGGAUGAAGACAAAUAGGGUAAAUGGGUAAUCAGUGUUUUGUGUAUAUUUCCAUUCAAUACAACUUUAAUCAUGGGCGAAGUCAGAACAAUUUUUUAGGGGCGAAUGAAAUUUUAACUUUUUAUAGUUUAUAUCUUUAUAAUUUUUAAUAGAUCAAAUCGAAUUUUUAUAAUUUUAGUAGGGGCCAAAGUUGUAAUUUUACCUUUACUAAUUUUAAAUUUUAAAUUGCCCAAAUAAUAAUUUUUCAUUUUAGGGGGGCCGGGGCCCCUGCUAGCCCCCUAGCUACGCCUCUGACUUUAAUCACCGUUUAAAAGUCUAAUUUUGACAAUUCAUAAAUGAGUCUUACAUAUUUAAACAUCGAUAAUUAAUGCAUUGAGAAGCGAUGGAUGAAAAAGUAUCGAUAGACAUUGAAAAAAAUUAAUAAUGCAUUAAAAUGAUAAAUAUGGAUUAUACUUAAUGUUAAAUUAGCAUUUAUUUUUAAUUAUCCUAAAUUCAAGGUAAAAGAUAUGAUUUAAUGCUUUUCUUAAUUAGUGUAUCAAAUUCGGCAAUGAUUUUUCUAAAAAAUAUUGGCCAACAAACUUUAUGAAAAUUAAAUCUUACAAAUUUUAGAAAGAAAAUUUUAGCUUUAAAUAAAAUCGUGGUUAAUGCCACUCUUUACAAUAUUGAAAUUUUUUUUAUUAAACCUAAGCUUAGAACAUUAAGCGAACAUCAGUCCUAAUGUGUAUUAUCAUCCGUCACCAGUGACUGUCUAAUUUCAUAUUCAAGCGUACCUCUCACAUAUUAUAGUGGAUCUUCCAGAAUAAUCAAUCGUUCAAUUACAUCUUCAUCUGUCUUAGUUAUGCAGUCAGUAACUUUAUUGACGUUCCAUUGAAUGUAUAUCAAUUUUUAAUAAUAAUAUAUAAAUGAAACAUAGUUAUAUGGUUCUAAUAAAAACAACCCGAAUCAAUAUAAGAAAAGGCUACAGAGACGCCAAAAGGGGCAGGGAUCGACUCUGCUUUUUGGAACAGGACGUCGUUCUCCGCUCCAAAUUGGCCUCCGUUGAUACAUCGUAUCAACAAACACAAUACGAUCUUUGUUUGUGGAGUUAAAAAAAAUAAACUAAAUUGCAUAUAUAAUUCUUAAAGGGAAAGAAAAAGUAAAAGUAAAACUGAGCACUUUACUUAGAAUCCGUAUGUUUCUAGUGUUGGUGGCACCAUUUUUUUUGUGAAAACGGGGUCGACUUUUAUUUUCAAAAUGAAAACAAACACGGGAGUCGCCACCAAUCUUUUUUAAUAAGGUGUGAUCGGAUCACCUCGCAAUUUAAUCGUUUUAAUAAAUAGAUUGUUUUAUUAAAACAUUAUUUUUUGGUCUACAAAAAUCCAGAAAACGGGUUCGAGAGUCGGUUACGCACGAGAAAGGAUUAGCACCCUCGAUGCACCCAAAAUUGGUACCUAGUUGAUUAAUUAGUGUCUUAAUGUCAAAAAUGUGCAAAGAUUUUAAAAUACGAUCCUUGUAUUUAAAAAAAAAACUUGUAUAAAUCAAAUUACCGGUUCAGACCCUCUCAUUUUGGAAAGAGAAAAUGUCACACUCAAUGAGUUAGGGCAUGAUAUUUCACCUCCUCAAAAAUGAGCUCAUCCUAAAAAGAACUCAUGGAAUGAAAUUUAAAAUGAUAUUCAAUUGUUUAAGUCAAAUGAAGAAAUCGCAGCCCAAUACACUAGGGCACAAUUCUCAAAAUUUCAAACAUUGAAUAUUCUUUUUAUUAUUUUUUUAGAAAAAUCAUCAUCUCGGGAAAACAAAAUGUCAUAUCCAAUGUGUUAGGACACAACGUAUCGAAUUCCCGAUACGAGAAUACAUGCCGAAAAAUUUACUUAUUUGAAAGGCAUUCGAUUAUAUCGGUUUUAGAAAAGACCAUAUUCCGUAAGUUAGAACACGAUCUUUUAUUAAUUAUUCCCGAGAUCGUUUAAAAACUUAAGUUUGAAAAGAUUCAUGUAUUUAUAUUUAUCGCGAAAAUUGAAACCCCGUAAGUUAGGGAACGACCUUCUCGAAUCUAGACACGAAAUUUUGGCUUAUUCAAAAGUCAUAAUUUAAAAGGAUAUUUUGCUAUUUAGGUUAAACAAGAAAUCGAAACCCAACACGUUGGGGCACGUCUUCUCAAUUUUUCAAGCUCUAAAUAUUGCCUUAUUUUGAGAUUUUUUUAAUUUGGAUAAAAAGGAAAUGAAAUGCUUAAAAAUGUACGUUUAGUUUCUUAGGUUUUUAGAGAAAUCGUUUAAUACGUAAAAGGAGUUAUACGUGGCUAAAUACGAUGGUGCAACAUACAUUUGAAAUAGCAAUGACAUAAUGUACAUAAUAAAAUGUAACAUACAUAACAUUAUCGUUAAUGAAUCAUAAAGUUAACAAGCACAAACAAUAAUAAGAAUGAUGGCAAUGAUAAUACAAUAAUAAUAAUGAUAAUAAUAAUGAAUAAAAAAGACGACAAUAAGGGAAAAAAAUAAAAUAACAAGCCAACCUAAAAGGAAAAUAAGAAGCAAGUAAAUAAAUAAACUAAUAAAUCUCAUUCAAAAAGGGUUAAGAUCUACUAUAUAAGUAAAAAACAAAAAAAGAAUAUCAAAUAAAAUAGUCCCCUUUUUUUAAAAUUAAAAUAAAUAAUCUAAUAAACUAAGGACUAAGGACGAGGUUGAAUUUGAAUAUAAAUUUCGGGGUCUAAAUUAUAACUAAAUAAAAAACUGCUAAGGACCAAAAUGAGACACACUCAAAGCGCGAGGGACCGACUGGGAAAUAUCCCCCAGUCUUAAAGCGCAGUGUUUUAACCGAUGGACUGCACAUGGUCUAAGGUAGGGGUGAGUAUUCGAUCGAAUCGAAUCGAAUUGAAUAAAAAAUUUUCGAGUUAAUCGAGUUUUCGAAUCUCAUUUUAUCAUCCUAACUUUAUUUGAAGUUUUCUCGAAUCGAGUCGAGUGAGAUGGAAUUCGAAUCGAAUUGAAUCGAAUAUAUUUGUUCGAGUUAAAUUUUAAAAAAAUAAUUUUGGGUCAUUGUAACCAUUUUCACCCAUCGUAAUAAAAUUUGUCGACCUUAAUCAAAUUUUUUAUUAACUUUCAUCACUUCAUAAUUUAUUUAUUAAUUUUUUAUAUACUGGUUAGCUUCUUUGCUUGCUUAGUUGUUUCAAUUAUCUUCAGAUUCUUGUCACUAUGUAUUUUAGAAUUAAAAAAUAUAUUAAAUGUAAAAAUAUGAUUUUUAAUAAAAGUUAUUUUAAAAAUAAAAUGUGAAAUUGAUACCAAUAUAAAAUUUUAACACGAAUAUUUUAUGGCAUAAUUAAUAAUUCAAUUUUAAUAUAAAUAUUUAAUAUGACUAAACAAUUCAAUAAUAUAAAUAAUAUAAAAUGUGAAAUUUAAUUUUACUAAUAUAAAUAGUAGAUAUAAAUAAAAUUAUUACUAUUUAUGUUUAGUGAAUUUUUUUUAGAUAAUUUUGAUUUUUUAUUUGAGAGUAAAGGGUGAGAAGUAAAAGUUUAAGGGAAAAAUAAAAAGUUUUGGGGAAUAAAAGUUUGAGGUAAAGUAAAUAGGGGGAGUAAAAUUUUGGAGGGAAAAUAUUUAAAAAAAAUUGGAAGGGGGAGGGUUUGGGAUAGAUGGGAGGUGGGAUGGGAAGGGAAGGGAAUAAAAGUUUUAGGGGAAAAGUGGGAGGGAGUAAAAAUUUUGGGGGAAAAUAAAAGGUUUUGAGGGUUUUUGGGAGUAAAAUUUUGAGAAAAAAUAAAUGGGAGAGUAAAAUUUUGGUGGGAAAUGGAUUUUUGGUAGAUUGGGGGUUGGGAGGGGAGGUGAGUAAAAGUUUUGGGGGGAAAGUGGGAAGGAGUAAAAGUUUUGAGAGAAAAGUAAAAAUGUUUGGGAGUUUGGGGUAAAAAUGUAAAAUAUUAUAGUUUGAUAUUCGAAUUAUUCGAAUUAUUCGAGUUAUUCGAAUUCGAAAACUCAACACGAUUCGAACUCGAAAUUCGAAAAAAAAUUCGAGUUGAUUCGAAUAACUCGAUUAACUCAAAUAACUUGAUUCGUUUAACUCGAAAUUCGAAUUUUUUUCGAGUCGAAUCGAGUUUUGCUCACCCCUAGUCUAAGGACCAGGUCGAAACAGAAGCCAAAUUCACGGCCCAAAUCACAAAAAACAAAAAAAGAUCAAAUUGCACUAUAUUGCAAAAGCAGAGGGACUUAUAGCGCAAAUAGCCCAUUCAGCAAAAAUGCACGGAUCCUCCAGUGGGUCAGGUCAACACGUGGAUCUAAGGGGUAAAAUGAGGUCGUUUCAACGACGAUGUGCACUGGCGCAAAAUGGCGUCGUUUCGUGCACUUAUAUAAUCUAUUUUUUUUUUUUUAAAAUUCAUUCUCUUCCACUUCCAAAGAAAAAAAACUGCAACACUCUCUCAAAAACUCUCCCCCCAUAUCCGGCCAUAGGAUUUCGGCCAUGGCCAUCGUCGCAGCGCCGCCGUGGCUGGUGGCCGUCGAUGCGCAAAGGGUGAUUUUUAAGCCUCCGUUUCAAAUCCCUUCAAAGGCCAAACUUUCUUGGCCCGAAGGCCGAGAGAAAAGGACCCCUAAACCCACCUUUCAGGGCCGAUUUUGAAGACAGAGAGACCUCCGACAAUGCGGCCGAUGGGCGUUUCGAGUAAGUUUUCAUUCCUUUUUCUUUUUAUUUUCGUAGAUGAAAUAAAAUAAUAAUAUAAAAAACUAGAUCUAAAAUGUAGAGAAAAAUAAAAUCACCUUCAAAUCAAAGUUCAAACUUUUGUAUUUUUUAUUUUAGAAUUCGGAAAAAAUAAAUGGUUUCAUUUUCGGUUCUUAUAGCCGAACCUAGGCUAUUCACCAUUAUUUUCUUUUGUCUAUUUCUUUUUAUUUUUUUCUUCUUUGUCUACUGCUAUUGUUUGUUUUUCUUUUGUUGUCUUUUCUUGCAGGAGGUCUGACGCGUGUGGAGGGCCAACGAUUGGCGAGCAGCGGUGGUGGCGCGAAGAGGCUUGGCUGGGGCUAGGGCUGCUGCUGCUGGUUUAGGUUACGGUCUGUAAUUUUGGACUGGGACUCGGGUUGUUGUUUGAGCUGAGGUAUUUUAUUAGGUUAGUCUGUUUAAUUUGGUUUGUAACUGGGUUUGGGCUUUCGGGCAAAAUGGGUUCUUACACUGUUAAUACAGAUAAACAUGAUUAGAUAAUGAGUGCACGAGGUAUCCACGAACGGGGUAUUAGAGGCCAAGGUAGAGGCCACAGAGGAGCUCGAGCUGAGUCCUCUUCACUGGGUAGCAUACAGAAUUUGGAUACGAGUGAGAUGCUAGUGUCUCCUGCUACUGAGACUGGGUCUCAAGAUCGCAUGGCUGGGGACGACGCAUUGUCCUAGGCUAUGCUAAGGAUUUUUGAGAGGGUCGUUGGGCCUAAUACUGGAUCUGAGGGUCGAGGGUUGAUUACGGAACGACUUCGGUCCAAUAGAGCUGAGCUCUUCAGGGGUGUAACUGGUGUUGCCCUUAAUGUGGCCAAGUACUGGAUUGAGGCUACGGAGAGGAUCAUGGAUGACUUAGACUGCACCCCAAAGCAAAAAUUAAAGGGUGCAGUCUCACUGUUAAAGGAUGAGGCUUAUCAGUGGUGGCUCACUGUUACAGAGGGCACUCAGCCUGGAUGUCUGACCUGGGAGUUCUUUAAGACUGCCUUCUAGGGGAAAUAUGUGGGGGCGAGCUACAUGGAGGCCCGUAGGAGGGAAUUCUUGAAUCUAACUCAGGGAGAUUGAUCAGUGGCUGAGUAUGAGGCCGAGUUCCUGCGACUGAGCCACUAUGCGUGAGGUAUGGUAGCCUUCGAGUACGAGUGAUGUAUUUAUUUUGAGGAUGGGCUCAGAGAUUAUUUGAGAGUCAUGAUAGCUCCGCAGAGGGAGCGUGAUUUUUCUGCACUAGUGGAGAAGGCGAAGAUCGCCGAGGAGGUUAAGCGCGCUGAACACCAGAACCGUGACCGCGAGAGGGGUAAGAACAAGAGGGAUUCGGAGCUCUCGAGUUUUGCAUAGUGGCCUAAGAAAAAGGCAAAAGUUGAUGGGCCGGUUAGAGCUGGGCCCCCUGUUACUGUUACUGGAUUGCAACCAUAUACUGAUUGUGGUAGACUCCAUCAGCGCGAGUGUUGGAGAAGGACUGGGGUGUGCUUGCGGUGUGGGUCAUUGGAGCACCGUAUUAGGGAGUGUCCGUUGAGGGCCGAUCAGAGGCAAGCUCUAGAUAAUGGUACGGCACAGCCACAGAGGGUAGUGCAACUAGCCACCGAGGGGCUGUGGACAGGCCAAAGGUGGUAAUGGUAUGGGUCGUGGGCAGAAGCACCAGGCAGAGGUGCUGGACAGGCUGAGGCAAGGCAGCCGGCCCUAGUUUAUGCUGCUCGUCGCCAAGAGGAUGGAGAUGCUCCGGACGUCGUCACGGGUACGUUCUAUAUUCUUGAUGUACCGUAUAUUGCCUUGACCACAUAUAUCUGAUCUGGCAGUUUUAACUGUAAUUCUGGUGGCAUUUCCACAAUAAUCUGUUGGUGUGUUUUUGGGUGAAAGAGUCCUGAGAAACUCUAAUUUGGUGUGUAGCGAAGAUAGGUAGGACGUUUUCUAAAAAAUAUGCAUAUUGUUUUCUAAAAAUAUUGCAUCGGCAUAUUCAUGCAUGCACAAAUUAUUAUAUAAACUUUUUAAUAUAUAUAAUAUAUCAAAAAUAUUAAAAUAAAUUAAAAAACAAUAUGUAUAGUUAUAUAAUUAAAAAACACUAAGAUAGGUGCAACUUAACAAGCAAAUGCCUUUAAAAUAGUAACAAAAUUAACAAUAAAACAAGAGUUAUACAAUAACAACAAAAAAAUAGGAACAUAAUAGUGAAAUGGUAGCAAAAUAGUGAAAAAUAAUAAUAAGAAAAUAACAACAAAACGAUAAAAAAAAUUAGCAUUUUUUUUUGCAUGUUCAGGCCGAGCUCGGGCCAAAAAAUCUUAGCCGAGGGCCGGCCCAUUUUCUAAACAGGUCUUCUUUUUUUACCCAACCUCAUUUUUCGGGCCUAUAUGUUUACCCAAAUCCUGCUACUUUUCGGGCAGCCCAACCCGAAAUAUGGACGGGUCUACUUUGACCUUCAACCUUGAAAUUUAGUUAAAUUACUCUUUCAUCUGAAUAAAUUGUUGCUUACAUAGCAAUCUACAUACUUAAUUGUCAACAUGGAUAAUUUCUCUAAAUAUUUUCAUUAACUUUUUUUUUAAUUUGUUGAACUUUUAUUUUAUUUUAUUUUGAAUAUUGAUGAAGUAUAUAUGGAUAACCAAUUGGUCAAACAUUUGUUUAAUUAAGAUUAAUUUUAUACAUCAUCGAUUGCACCUAAUAGAAAAAAGAGAUUAGUGACGAUGAAAACUCCACCUAUUCUUUCGGAAUUAUUCUACCAAUCCCAAUAUAGUCAUUACAUGAUUUCGUUUCAACAUAAAGAUCUAUAAAUUACCAAUAAAUAACUUUUAAUAAUUACAAGUUAAAUAUUAUACCAGUAAAUAUUGGAUGCAAUAAUAACACGUAUUAUAUUUUUAAUGAGAAAACGCGAAUUUCAAUCUUUAAAACUAUAUUAUUAAAAAGGAUAAUAACGAACUCUGAAUAUGAACGAAGGGGCUGGCUUUGAAUCAUUGGGCGGCACGUGUCUAAAAGUUGUUGAACCGUUAUAGUAGCUGAAACAAGUAAAUGAUUUAAAAAUGAUAUUGAUUAAGUUUGUAAACGUUUUUUUUUUAAUUUUUUAAGUUGAAAAGAUGGUAUCAUAUAAUAAUAAAUUUAACUUUCAAUGUUGACUAUUUUUACUAAAUUUGGUCACUAAAUUUUCAAAAAAAGAGCCAAAUAUUCUUUUAGUGUAAAUACUGAUCAAAGCAUUUAUUUUUUAAUGAUGUUGGCAUGACAGCCUAUGUGUCAAGCUAAGGCUACAUGUAUUUUAUGUUAACAUAGCAAUAUUUGUCUUAUAUGCCACAUAACAAAUAAUUAUAAAAGUUAAAAAAGAAUUAACAUGAAAUUCACGUCAACUGCAUGCAGGACACCAUGUUUAAAAUUUAAUUUUUCUAUGUCGAAUUCGAAUUAAUUACAAGAGGAGUAGACUAUGCCUAUUUAUAGGCUUGUAAACAUUAUUCUAAUAGGAGUGAAACUCCUUAUUCUAAUAAUAUCAAAUAGAUGGAGUUUAAUAAUGUUUAAAAAACCUUAUUCUAAAAUAAAAUAAAAGAAGUAUAAUUCUAUAGAGAUUUUACUUUAUUUUAUUUUACCACAGUAUUUUAUUUAAAUAAGAAUUUGGGUCACUUAAUUCUAACAUAUAAACUGAGAGAACGAAGGUUUCAUAAUCACAAUAUUUUGCUUUUCUCCCGAAUCUCAAGCCAACAACAAAAUUUAUCAUUUUGGCAUUUUUACUAUGGCUUUUGUUAUAUGAAUGAGAGUCAUGCUACCAUGCGAAUUUGUCAUUUUUCUCACCAACCCAUUAUUUGGGUUACUAUGCGAAUUUGUCAUUUUCCAUUUUCAACAAGCCACUGGAAACUUCAGUAGCAAUUUCUUCUUCCGAUUCUGGGGAAGCUGCAACCUCAUCAGCUAAGGCCGAGGUCGUCCCAUCCACACUCUCGGAAUCAUCUCCAACAGAGCUUUUAAACUUUUCAAUGAGUGUUUCCACCCUCGACACAAAGUUAGGGUCUGUUAAUGUUUUUUCCAAAUACUCCCCUUGUAUUCCGUCAUCCUGCAAUUUCGAAAUAAUGCCAGUCAUAACUAAAGCCCCAAAUACCCCUGCGGCUUCUGGGGAUGCUGCCUCAUCCAUAGCCUUCUCGUUUUGUCCUACUAUGAAAAAUACACAUAAUCCAACCUAUUUGGCCAAUUAAAAUUACACAUAAUCCAAUUUGUUGUUGUUUAUUAAAUUUCUUGUUUAACAAAUUGUUUUGUUUUGGCGCACGUUGAGAAAAAUUGGUAGCCUUUAUAAAUAUAGACAUCCAUACAUUGCAUAAUGUUUUUUUUUUUGGUUCAAUUACAUGGCGUAAGGUUGCUGGUUGCGAUUAGUUUACAUGUAUAUGGUAAUUUGUUGCAUCAUUCCCUCACUAAUUCUUCUCAUUUUCUGUGUUACCAUUGCUUUUAUCAUAUUGAACGGCUUUAGCCAUCUCUUUCAGGUCUACUAAUCCAUCCUUUCCCAUUUUCCUCGACAAACCACUGGCAAUUUCAGUAGCAAUUUCUACUUUCGAUUCUGGGGAAGCUGCAAC
RNAcentral lists this long non-coding RNA (15099 nucleotides) under Gossypium raimondii (Peruvian cotton). RNAcentral describes it as "long non-coding RNA (GRAI_LNC000856)". The record is from RNAcentral. Lineage: Eukaryota; Viridiplantae; Streptophyta; Magnoliopsida; Malvales; Malvaceae.